UCUUUCCAUCCGAGCGCGAGGGAGACGCCGGGGCCACCCACCCGCAGCACGCAGAGCUUCUGGGAGCCGGUGGCAAGGCCGAAAUGGGAUGCAAACCAAAUGCACGUGGGUGACUGGCAGAAAAAGCCUCCCACAAAUGGGAGGGAUUUCGGAAGGAACCGAAAGAAAGUUGGAAACCAAGUUACAGCUGAAGCCGGGGCCUUCUCCUACCCGACUCUCAUGGCCCAUUAAAACCUACGUGAGCUUAUCUGACACCUUCAAGCCCUGUUUGGUGGCCCCAUCUCCUCUUCAGAUGGCAAUGUGCCUAGCUACACUACAUUUCCAGCCUCCCUUGCAGCUAGAGGUGGCCAAUGAGAUAUAAACAGAUGCUGUCAGACAUGAUGUCUAGAUCCCUAGCAGUCAUCCCAGACCAUGAGAUAACUUUGAGAAGGAACACCAUGUACAAAGGACUGUGCAGAAGAGGGUUGGCAGGAGCCUGGAUCUCUGAUGACUUCACCCUUGACUGCCCACCUCACCAGGCUGUACAAGCCACUGUUACUGGCAGAUGAAUGCAAGUUCUAAAACAUACAACCACUGACCUACUGAAUUUUCCAAGGAGCACAUUUCCACUGGAGACAUUUGGUGCCUGCAGAAAAUACUUACUGAGGAAUUUCUAUGGGACCAGCCUGAAGUAGAAGCCACUGAAGAGAGGCCCUGAAGCAGCUUUUCUUCCUUAUCCCAGAGACCAACAUGGUUACCCCAGCCCAGAGUCACCCUCCUUCCUCUAAGCUGUCAAAACCCUGGCUGCCUUUACAAUGAUUCUGACAAUGAAUCCCACCCUGCUGGUGAUG
RNAcentral lists this long non-coding RNA (830 nucleotides) under Pongo abelii (Sumatran orangutan). RNAcentral describes it as "lincRNA". Lineage: Eukaryota; Metazoa; Chordata; Mammalia; Primates; Hominidae. The record is from RNAcentral.